AAUUUUGGACUAUGGGGGAAACCCUGAUCCAGCCAUCCCGCGUGUAUGAUGAAGGCCAUCGGAUAGUAAAGAAAUGUUGGCAGAGAAGAAAUGGUACGUCUCAAUACGAGGUACUGCCGAUGGUAUCUGAAGAAUAAGCACUGGCUACCUACGUGCCAGCAGCCGCGGUAAUACGUAGGGUGCAAGCGUUAAUCGGAAUUACUGGGCGUAAAGCGUGUGUAGGCGGUUCGGAAAGAAAGAUGUGAAAUCCCAGGGCUCAACCUUGGAACUGCAUUUUUAACUGCCGAGCUAGAGUAUGUCAGAGGGGGGUAGAAUUCCACGUGUAGCAGUGAAAUGCGUAGAUAUGUGGAGGAAUACCGAUGGCGAAGGCAGCCCCCUGGAUAAUACUGACGCUCAGACACGAAAGCGUGGGGAGCAAAC
Molecule: ribosomal RNA, 420 nt
Filed under: uncultured bacterium
Lineage: Bacteria
Description: partial 16S ribosomal RNA
Rfam family: Bacterial small subunit ribosomal RNA
Source: RNAcentral